RNAcentral lists this long non-coding RNA (821 nucleotides) under Nicotiana tabacum (common tobacco). RNAcentral's name for it is "long non-coding RNA (NTAB_LNC011726)". The record is from RNAcentral. Lineage: Eukaryota; Viridiplantae; Streptophyta; Magnoliopsida; Solanales; Solanaceae.
GGUUUUUGGGGAGCUUCAAGAAGGGAUUUUCAUCAUCAAGGUGAAGGUAAGUUAUCCCCACCUAUUUUGAGUUAAGUACAUCAAUUAUGUAUGGAUUUGAGCAUGAAAAUUGUAGAAAAAUUGAGGAUUUAGGCCUAGGGAUUUGAAAAUAAGAUUUGGUGAUUUGAGGGGUCAAAUGAACUCCGAUUUUGGUAAAGUUUAUAUGUACAGACUCGUGGCGAAACGAGGAAUCCGGUGAUGUGACUUUCGUAAUUUUUCGAGAAGCGGGUCCGGGGCUCGGGUUUUGCAAAUUUCAUGAUUUUCGAUAUUUUUCGAGUCUUUUCGAUUGGGUUAUAUUCCCUUAGCCUAUUGUAAUAUAUUCCUUGUGGUUUUGGCAAGAUUCGACGCGCGAGGAGGUCGAUUCGAAAGGAAAGGGCAUCGCGGAGUAGACUUUUGGCCAUCUUGAGGUGAGUAAUAGAUGUAAAUGCUGUUCUGAGGGUUUGAAACCACGGAUUUUCAAAUCGUAACGCUAUAUUGAGGCGUGAAACGCACUCCAUGGCGAGUGCGGGGUCGAAUACUAUUGGAGAUUGUGACUUGGUCCAUCCCGUGUGAUGUUUAUACUAUAUUGGUGAUUGAUACACAUACUUCAUUGAUAUUACUGGGCUUGAUGCCAUGUUUGGGGCCUUGUGCCGAUUUGUAAAAUCCUUCGAGGAUUGAUAUUACUGCUUAGCAUGAUUUGCAUAUCAUUUAAUUUCAGUCUAAGGUUUUAAAUGUUGUUUUGCAAACUCAGCCAUAAUUCUAAGUGUUGAAAACUUAAAUGAUAUUUUUAAAUGUAUUCCGGG